This 527-nucleotide ribosomal RNA is filed under the name uncultured bacterium. Its description in RNAcentral is "bacterial SSU rRNA". It matches the Rfam family "Bacterial small subunit ribosomal RNA", at positions 355 to 896 of the family's 1533-position model. The record is from RNAcentral.
UAGGGAAUCUUGCGCAAUGGGCGAAAGCCUGACGCAGCAACGCCGCGUGGGGGAUGAAGGCCUUCGGGUUGUAAACUCCUUUUAGUGGGAACGAAAUUGACGGUACCCACAGAAAAAGCCCCGGCUAACUACGUGCCAGCAGCCGCGGUGAUACGUAGGGGGCGAGCGUUGUCCGGAUUCACUGGGCGUAAAGAGCUCGUAGGUGGCUUAGUAAGUCGGCGUGUCAAAUCUCCAGGCUUAACCUGGAGUCGCACCCGAUACUGCUAUAGCUAGAGUCCGGUAGGGGACCAUGGAAUUCCUGGUGUAGCGGUGAAAUGCGCAGAUAUCAGGAGGAACACCAGUAGCGAAGGCGGUGGUCUGGGCCGGUACUGACACUGAGGAGCGAAAGCGUGGGGAGCGAACAGGAUUAGAUACCCUGGUAGUCCACGCCGUAAACGUUGGGCACUAGGUGUGGGACCCUAUCGACGGGUUCCGUGCCGCAGCUAACGCAUUAAGUGCCCCGCCUGGGGAGUACGGCCGCAAGGCUA